UUUUGAAGAGUUUGAUCCUGGCUCAGAACGAACGCUGGCGGCGGGGUUUAGGCAUGCAAGUUGUGCGUGAAAGUCUUCGGAUGAGUAGCGCGGCGAAAGGGUGAGUAAUGGUUCGUUAACGUGCCCCUUGGACCCGGAUAAUUCCUGGAAACGGGUUGUAAAACGGGAUGGGACCGUUGCGCUUACGGGUGUUGCGGUGAAAGCGCAGGGAUCUUUCGGGACCUGCGGCCGAGGGAGCGGACGAGCCCCGAUUAGCUUGAUGGUGGGGUAAUGGCCUACCAUGGCGAUGAUCGGUAGCCGGCCUGAGAGGGUGUACGGCCACACUGGGACUGAGACACUGCCCAGACU
Molecule: ribosomal RNA, 348 nt
Filed under: Planctomycetota bacterium
Lineage: Bacteria; Pseudomonadati; Planctomycetota
Description: bacterial SSU rRNA
Rfam family: Bacterial small subunit ribosomal RNA
Source: RNAcentral